This 468-nucleotide ribosomal RNA is filed under the name uncultured bacterium. Its description in RNAcentral is "partial 16S ribosomal RNA". It matches the Rfam family "Bacterial small subunit ribosomal RNA", at positions 28 to 507 of the family's 1533-position model. The record is from RNAcentral.
GACGAACGCUGGCGGCGUGCUUAACACAUGCAAGUCGAACGGAAAGGCCCUGCUUUUGUGGGGUGCUCGAGUGGCGAACGGGUGAGUAACACGUGAGUAACCUGCCCUUGACUUUGGGAUAACUUCAGGAAACUGGGGCUAAUACCGGUUAGGAGCUCCUGCUGCAUGGUGGGGGUUGGAAAGUUUCGGCGGUUGGGGAUGGACUCGCGGCUUAUCGGCUUGUUGGUGGGGUAGUGGCUUACCAAGGCUUUGACGGGUAGCCGGCCUGAGAGGGUGACCGGCCACAUUGGGACUGAGAUACGGCCCAGACUCCUACGGGAGGCAGCAGUGGGGAAUAUUGCACAAUGGGCGGAAGCCUGAUGCAGCAACGCCGCGUGCGGGAUGACGGCCUUCGGGUUGUAAACCGCUUUCGCCUGUGACGAAGCGUGAGUGACGGUAAUGGGUAAAGAAGCACCGGCUAACUACGUG